CUUCUUCGGAAGCAGAGACCGGCGCACGGGUGCGUAACGCGUAUGCAAUCUGCCUUUCACAGAGGGAUAGCCCAGAGAAAUUUGGAUUAAUACCUCAUAGCAUAGCACAAUCGCAUGAUUGAGCUAUUAAAGUCACAACGGUGAAAGAUGAGCAUGCGUCCCAUUAGCUGGUUGGUAAGGUAACGGCUUACCAAGGCUACGAUGGGUAGGGGUCCUGAGAGGGAGAUCCCCCACACUGGUACUGAGACACGGACCAGACUCCUACGGGAGGCAGCAGUGAGGAAUAUUGGUCAAUGGGCGCAAGCCUGAACCAGCCAUGCCGCGUGCAGGAUGACGGUCCUAUGGAUUGUAAACUGCUUUUGUACGAGAAGAAACACUCCUUCGUGAAGGAGCUUGACGGUAUCGUAAGAAUAAGGAUCGGCUAACUCCGUGCCAGCAGCCGCGGUAAUACGGAGGAUCCAAGCGUUAUCCGGAAUCAUUGGGUUUAAAGGGUCCGUAGGCGGUCUGGUAAGUCAGUGGUGAAAGCCCAUCGCUCAACGGUGGAACGGCCAUUGAUACUGCUGGACUUGAAUUAUUAGGAAGUAACUAGAAUAUGUAGUGUAGCGGUGAAAUGCUUAGAGAUUACAUGGAAUACCAAUUGCGAAGGCAGGUUACUACUAAUGGAUUGACGCUGAUGGACGAAAGCGUGGGUAGCGAACAGGAUUAGAUACCCUGGUAGU
Molecule: ribosomal RNA, 719 nt
Filed under: Flavobacterium sp. G1_16
Lineage: Bacteria; Pseudomonadati; Bacteroidota; Flavobacteriia; Flavobacteriales; Flavobacteriaceae
Description: bacterial SSU rRNA
Rfam family: Bacterial small subunit ribosomal RNA
Source: RNAcentral